RNAcentral lists this antisense RNA (75 nucleotides) under Actinoplanes sp. N902-109. Its description in RNAcentral is "ASpks TB sRNA". It matches the Rfam family "ASpks TB sRNA". The record is from Rfam by way of RNAcentral. Lineage: Bacteria; Bacillati; Actinomycetota; Actinomycetes; Micromonosporales; Micromonosporaceae.
CUUGACCGAGCCGAGCCAGAGGGGGUGGCCUUCCGGGCGGUCCUGGCCGUAGGUGGCCAGCAGGGCCUGCGCCUC